AGCAGCCGCGGUAAUUCCAGCUCCAAUAGCGUAUAUUAAAGUUGUUGCAGUUAAAAAGCUCGUAGUUGAAUUUCGGGAUCAAGGCGUCCGUCGUGCUUCGGUACGUACUGGCGUCAUUGAUUUCCCCCUUCUGACGAACCAUGAUGUCAUUAACUUGGUGUUAUGGGAAAUCAGGACUGUUACUUUGAAAAAAUUAGAGUGUUUAAAGCAGGCUCACGCUUGAAUACAUUAGCAUGGAAUAAUGAAAUAGGACGUUCGAUCCUAUUUUGUUGGUUUUUAGGAUCAACGUAAUGAUUAAUAGGGAUAGUUGGGGGCAUUAGUAUUCAAUUGUCAGAGGUGAAAUUCUUGGAUUUAUUGAAGACUAACUACUGCGAAAGCAUUUGCCAAGGAUGUUUUCAUUAAUCAAGAACGAAAGUUAGGGGAUCGAAGACGAUCAGAUACCGUCGUAGUCUUAACCAUAAACUAUGCCGACUAGGGAUCGGAUGAUGUUAAUUAUUUAAUGACACAUUCGGCGCCUUAA
Molecule: ribosomal RNA, 520 nt
Filed under: uncultured Glomus
Lineage: Eukaryota; Fungi; Glomeromycota; Glomeromycetes; Glomerales; Glomeraceae
Description: SSU rRNA
Rfam family: Eukaryotic small subunit ribosomal RNA
Source: RNAcentral